RNAcentral lists this ribosomal RNA (497 nucleotides) under uncultured bacterium. RNAcentral's name for it is "partial 16S ribosomal RNA". It matches the Rfam family "Bacterial small subunit ribosomal RNA", at positions 28 to 507 of the family's 1533-position model. The record is from RNAcentral.
GAUGAACGCUGGCGGCGUGCCUAAUACAUGCAAGUCGAGCGAACGGACGAGAAGCUUGCUUCUCUGAUGUUAGCGGCGGACGGGUGAGUAACACGUGGAUAACCUACCUAUAAGACUGGGAUAACUUCGGGAAACCGGAGCUAAUACCGGAUAAUAUUUUGAACCGCAUGGUUCAAAAGUGAAAGACGGUCUUGCUGUCACUUAUAGAUGGAUCCGCGCUGCAUUAGCUAGUUGGUAAGGUAACAGCUUACCAAGGCAACGAUGCAUAGCCGACCUGAGAGGGUGAUCGGCCACACUGGAACUGAGACACGGUCCAGACUCCUACGGGAGGCAGCAGUAGGGAAUCUUCCGCAAUGGGCGAAAGCCUGACGGAGCAACGCCGCGUGAGUGAUGAAGGUCUUCGGAUCGUAAAACUCUGUUAUUAGGGAAGAACAUAUGUGUAAGUAACUGUGCACGUCUUGACGGUACCUAAUCAGAAAGCCACGGCUAACUACGUG